RNAcentral lists this ribosomal RNA (471 nucleotides) under uncultured bacterium. RNAcentral's name for it is "bacterial SSU rRNA". It matches the Rfam family "Bacterial small subunit ribosomal RNA", at positions 28 to 506 of the family's 1533-position model. The record is from RNAcentral.
GACGAACGCUGGCGGCGUGCCUAACACAUGCAAGUCGAGCGGAGACAGAUUUGAGCUUGCUUGAAACUGUUUUAGCGGCGGACGGGUGAGUAACGCGUGAGCAACCUUUCUCUCAGUGGGGAAUAACACAGGGAAACUUGUACUAAUACCGCAUGAGACCACAUUGUCGCAUGGCAAAGGGGUCAAAGAUUAAUCGCUGAAAGAUGGUCUCGCGUCUGAUUAGCUAGUUGGUGAGGUAACGGCUCACCAAGGCGACGAUCAGUAGCCGGUCUGAGAGGAUGAACGGCCACAUUGGGACUGAGAUACGGCCCAGACUCCUACGGGAGGCAGCAGUGGGGAAUAUUGGGCAAUGGGCGAAAGCCUGACCCAGCAACGCCGCGUGAAGGAAGAAGGCCUUCGGGUUGGUAAACGUUCUUUACCUAGGACGAACAAAUGACGGUACCUGGAGAAAAGACAACGGCGUAACUACGU